CUGUGUGUUGUUGGGUAGGGGAGCGUUCUGUAAGCCUGUGAAGGUGGCCUGUGAGGGUUGCUGGAGGUAUCAGAAGUGCGAAUGCUGACAUAAGUAACGAUAAAGCGGGUGAAAAGCCCGCUCGCCGGAAGACCAAGGGUUCCUGUCCAACGUUAAUCGGGGCAGGGUGAGUCGACCCCUAAGGCGAGGCCGAAAGGCGUAGUCGAUGGGAAACGGGUUAAUAUUCCCGUACUUGGUGUUACUGCGAAGGGGGGACGGAGAAGGCUAUGUUGGCCGGGCGACGGUUGUCCCGGUUUAAGCGUGUAGGUGUGUGUUCCAGGUAAAUCCGGUUCACUUUAACACUGAGGCGUGACGACGAGGCACUACGGUGCUGAAGCAACAAAUGCCCUGCUUCCAGGAAAAGCCUCUAAGCAUCAGGUAACAUCAAAUCGUACCCCAAACCGACACAGGUGGUCAGGUAGAGAAUACCAAGGCGCUUGAGAGAACUCGGGUGAAGGAACUAGGCAAAAUGGUGCCGUAACU
Molecule: ribosomal RNA, 522 nt
Filed under: Salmonella enterica subsp. enterica serovar Colindale
Lineage: Bacteria; Pseudomonadati; Pseudomonadota; Gammaproteobacteria; Enterobacterales; Enterobacteriaceae
Also listed under: 1 other name
Description: partial 23S ribosomal RNA
Rfam family: Bacterial large subunit ribosomal RNA
Source: RNAcentral